AUUGAACGCUGGCGGCAGGCCUAACACAUGCAAGUCGUACGAGUGGCGGACGGGUGAGUAAUGUAUGGGAAACUGCCUGAUGAAGGGGGAUAACUACUGGAAACGGUAGCUAAUACCGCAUACCAUCAGAUGUGCCCAGAUGGGAUUAGCUUGUCGGUGGGGUAACGGCUCACCUAGGCGACGAUCCCUAGCUGGUCUGAGAGGAUGACCAGCCAAACGGGUACUGAGACACGGUCCAGACUCCUACGGGAGGCAGCAGUGGGGAAUAUUGCACAAUGGGCGCAAGCCUGAUGCAGCCAUGCCGCGUGUAUGAAGAAGGCCUUCGGGUUGUAAAGUACUUUCAGUGGGGAGGCGUUACCCACAGAAGAAGCACCGGCUAACUCCGUGCCAGCAGCCGCGGUAAUAC
Molecule: ribosomal RNA, 406 nt
Filed under: uncultured bacterium
Lineage: Bacteria
Description: partial 16S ribosomal RNA
Rfam family: Bacterial small subunit ribosomal RNA
Source: RNAcentral